RNAcentral lists this non-coding RNA (31 nucleotides) under Rattus norvegicus (Norway rat). Lineage: Eukaryota; Metazoa; Chordata; Mammalia; Rodentia; Muridae. The record is from RNAcentral.
UUGCAAGUCCAUGGGACACCCUGAGCUAUGU